Molecule: ribosomal RNA, 196 nt
Filed under: uncultured bacterium
Lineage: Bacteria
Description: partial 16S ribosomal RNA
Rfam family: Bacterial small subunit ribosomal RNA
Source: RNAcentral
GAUUGAAGGCUGAAAUUCGCCUUCAUGAAGCUGGAAUUGCUAGUAAUGGCAGGUCAGCAUACUGCCGUGAAUACGUUCCCGGGCCUUGUACACACCGCCCGUCAAGCCAUGGGAGCCGGGGGUGCCUGAAGUUCGUGACCGCAAGGAGCGACCUAGGGCAAAACUGGUGACUGGGGCUAAGUCGUAACAAGGUAGC